UUUUUUUUUUUUUUUUUGAGACAGAGUCUGGCUCUGUCACCCAGGCUGGAUGGAGUGCAGUGGUGCAAUCUCAGCUCACUGCAGCCUCUGCCUCCCAGGUUCCAGAGAUUCUCCUGCCUCAACCUCCCAGGUAGCUGGGAUUACAGGCAUGCACCACUACGCCUGGCUAAUUGUUGUAUUUUUGUAGAGAUGGGGUUUCACCAUGUUGGCUAGGCUGAUCUUGAACUGCUGACCUCAGGUGAUCUGCCCCCUUCGGCCUCCCAAAGUGCUAGGAUUACAGGCAGGAACCACCGCACCGGGCCUUAGCUAUUUUUAAGUGUACAGUUUAGUAGCGUUAAGUACAUUCACAUUGUUGAGCAACCAGUCUCCAGAACUCUGUUCAUCUUGCAAAACUGAAACUCUGUAUCCAAUAAACACUGGCUCCCCAUUUCCCCCUGCCCCCAGCCCAUGGUAACCACCAUUCUACUUUCUGUCUUUAUGAAUUCGUAAUGGGAUACAGCAUUGUAUGUUUCGGGACUAGCUUAUUUCACUUAGCAUAAUGUCGUCAAGAUUCAUCCAUAUUUUAGCAUGUAUCAGAAUUUCCCUCCUUUUUGAAGCUGGAAAAUAGUCGUAUGUAUAUACUGCAUUUUUGUUCAUCAUUCAUCUGUUGUGGACAUGGGUUGCUUCUACCUUUUGGCUACUGUGAAUAAUGCUGCUUUAAACAUGGGUGUACAGACAUCUCUUCAAAACCCUGCUUUCCAUUCUUUUGGCUACAUGACCAGAAAUGGAAUUGCUGGACCAUAUUUUUUUUUAAUUUUUCGAGAAACCUCUAUAGUGUUUCCUAUAGUGGCUGCACCACAGUAGACACUUCUAAAGUUUCGGCCAUGUCCUGGGGGAAAGAAUUAUUGUACUGUAAACAACAUCUAAGGAAAAUAACUGUAUGGCCAAGAGUAAACAAUUUUCAUGCUUUAUUAGAAAAUGAUUAAAAUAAUUAAGAGCAUGGAAUUCCUAGAAUUGGGAGAGACAUUAUAAACCAUUUGGUCUACCCCUUUCCUUUACGAUGAGUAAACAGGUUUGUGGAGGUCAAACGGCCAGUUAAGUAAGGGAAGAACCAGAAUUGGCAUCCAGAGCUUUCCAAUCUUCAACUUAUUGCAGGAAAAUAAUAAUAAUUUUCAACUCGAAAAAUUAUGCGAAGAAGAAGAACCAUUGAGCGGAUGAUUCGCAACAUCCUCUGGGAUGUAUUUUCUGUGUGUUUUGUUUUCAGGGGUGUUUGUUAACCUCCCUAUGCCUUGGUUGACAUUGAAACCCCGCCUGUUUUUCUUGCUCCCGCCGCUGACUGGGUCCUGGGCAUCCUAGGAGACGGAGGGAGAGACAAAGGAAAUCAGUCCACAAUUAAGAUCCAGGGGGAAUGGAAUGAGACCCCAUGCUCGCCUGUGCGCUGGCCGGAGUCGCCAGCGUGCCGCGCGGAUUCAGCGCCCUUCUCAGGGCCUCAAAGAUCCCAGAGCGCUAGAAGGGUGGUUUGUGGCUCCCUGCAGUCCCCACGCCCCGGAUCCAAACGACAGAGUUCGGGGACUCACAGGGGCAGCAAGGAGGCAGAGCCGCGGAGCCCGUGCAACUUCUCCAGCGGGACCGCGCCCAAUCUUCCCCGCCGCAGUCGGGGAGCCCCGGGGCCGCCAAGCGCAGGCUGCGGACCGCGGCGGGC
RNAcentral lists this long non-coding RNA (1681 nucleotides) under Macaca fascicularis (crab-eating macaque). Its description in RNAcentral is "lncRNA (ENSMFAG00000060021.1)". Lineage: Eukaryota; Metazoa; Chordata; Mammalia; Primates; Cercopithecidae. The record is from RNAcentral.